UGGGGAAUAUUGCACAAUGGGCGCAAGCCUGAUGCAGCCAUGCCGCGUGUAUGAAGAAGGCCUUCGGGUUGUAAAGUACUUUCAGCGGGGAGGAAGGUGUUGAGGUUAAUAACCUCAGCAAUUGACGUUACCCGCAGAAGAAGCACCGGCUAACUCCGUGCCAGCAGCCGCGGUAAUACGGAGGGUGCAAGCGUUAAUCGGAAUUACUGGGCGUAAAGCGCACGCAGGCGGUCUGUCAAGUCGGAUGUGAAAUCCCGGGCUCAACCUGGGAACUGCAUUCGAAACUGGCAGGCUAGAGUCUUGUAGAGGGGGGUAGAAUUCCAGGUGUAGCGGUGAAAUGCGUAGAGAUCUGGAGGAAUACCGGUGGCGAAGGCGGCCCCCUGGACAAAGACUGACGCUCAGGUGCGAAAGCGUGGGGAGCAAACA
RNAcentral lists this ribosomal RNA (426 nucleotides) under uncultured bacterium. Its description in RNAcentral is "partial 16S ribosomal RNA". It matches the Rfam family "Bacterial small subunit ribosomal RNA", at positions 355 to 774 of the family's 1533-position model. The record is from RNAcentral.